This 439-nucleotide ribosomal RNA is filed under the name uncultured bacterium. Its description in RNAcentral is "partial 16S ribosomal RNA". It matches the Rfam family "Bacterial small subunit ribosomal RNA", at positions 338 to 795 of the family's 1533-position model. The record is from RNAcentral.
CCUACGGGUGACAGCAGUGGGGGAUAUUGCACAAUGGGGGGAACCCUGAUGCAGCGACGCCGCGUGGGUGAAGGAGCGUUUCGGCGCGUAAAGCCCUAUCGGCAGGGAAGAAGAUGACGGUACCUGGCCAAGAAGCCCCGGCUAACUACGUGCCAGCAGCCGCGGUAAUACGUAGGGGGCAAGCGUUAUCCGGAUUUACUGGGUGUAAAGGGUGCGCAGGCGGCCUGUUAAGUCAGCGGUAAAAGCCCGGGGCUCAACCCCGGCGAGCCGUUGAAACUGGCGGGCUGGAGUUGGAGAGAAGUACGCGGAAUGCGCGGUGUAGCGGUGAAAUGCUUAGAUAUCGCGCAGAACCCCGAUUGCGAAGGCAGCGUACCGGCUCCACACUGACGCUGAGGCACGAAAGCGUGGGUAUCGAACAGGAUUAGAUACCCGAGUAGUC